GCCAUGAUGCUCUCCUAGUUAUAGUUUAGGGGCAAUUAAAAUGACUGCACAUUGGUGGUAGUUUAUGGAUUUGCACAAGAAGAGAGAACUCAUAGAGCUAGCAUUAUUUUACAUGUCUUUACAGAGGUGUAUUUGGCUGUUUUGUUAGACAUUC
This 154-nucleotide small nucleolar RNA is filed under the name Aotus nancymaae (Ma's night monkey). RNAcentral describes it as "Small nucleolar RNA SNORA75 (ENSANAG00000031321.1)". Lineage: Eukaryota; Metazoa; Chordata; Mammalia; Primates; Aotidae. The record is from RNAcentral.